Molecule: long non-coding RNA, 474 nt
Filed under: Bos taurus (domestic cattle)
Lineage: Eukaryota; Metazoa; Chordata; Mammalia; Artiodactyla; Bovidae
Description: long non-coding RNA NONBTAT024239
Source: RNAcentral
GACUGUUGAACCACUCACAAUUUUUUAGUAGCCAGAAAAUAAAUAAAUAAACAAUGAAAUAAAUUUUGUUUUGUAUAAUGACUUACUCCUUGUUUAGUUAACCAAGAGAAAUUAGUUAUCUGAUUCAUGCAUAUUUUCAUAAGUAGACAGGUAAUAGUGAAUCCUUAUACAAUUUUUCCAAAAUUUUAAAAUCAAAUUGCUAUAAAUAUAGAUUUUUAUAUUAAGUCUUUAGGUUACAUUUUAGAUUACUGUAAAGUUUUAUUAAAAUUUAUUCAGAAAUAUCAAAAUCAUUUCACUGCCCAAGUUUGUAAAUUGAAUUAUGAUAUAUUGAAUUGGGAUUUUAAUUUGAUGAAGUGUACUUAGUAUAGAGUAUAUGUACUACUUUUAAUUGAGAUUAAUAAUUUCACAAAUGAAGAGACAAUUGACUGUAUAAAAAUUGACUACAUUUUCAAAAUUUAAUUGUGGGCAAGGAAG